GAAGGUUCUAGAGAGAGAGUACGAAGAGGAAAAGACGGUCCUUCUCCCUCUCCCUCACCCUCUCCCUCUCCGCUGGUCCGGCACUCCCAAUUCCCUUUCGUGAGUUUCCUCUCAAGGAGGUAGCUCCGCUUCCAAACGUGGCCUAGCCGGUGGUAGUACUGCUUCGACUUUAGGAACUGAUCCAGAUCGGACUUCACCUUGUUCUUCAGCUCCGCGUCCAUCGCCACUCACCGGCGUCGGAGUUCACGUACAGCUUGAUGUCCUUUUUUCUUCGUUGCUCAAUCUCGUCAGCGACAGAGAGAAUAUGCUAGAAGUACUGCCGGAAGACUCUGCGCUUGUCUUUCUUCUUUAAUCGAAGAACGAGCGCGUCGCCGGAGGCGUUGGUCCAGGAGAGCCUGGCGCCAAGGAAGGUGUCAUGAACGGUGUGGUUAUGGUCGAGGUGGAGGAAGAUGUCGGAGGGAUUGGGGUAAUCAGAAUCUUCAACAGAGGGAAGAGAAUCGAGGAGUUGUUUGCUAGGCUAAAAUCGCCAACCACCUCUCAAGAAUCAAAGAAGAACUUGGGGUGAAUUUGCUCGAUUUGUUGCUGAUAAAAAGAGCCUCAAAAGCCUCAAGAUGGAAGAUUGUUCUAACCUUGGAGAGUUAUGAUGAUAAAGGGCCUGCCAUAGAUGCUGUUGUCUGGUAUGAUGGAGAGGUUUGGAGGGUUGCUCUUGACACACACAGUCUUGAUGAUGAUCCAGAUUGUGGGAAGCUUGCUAACUUUAUACCCUUAACCAAUUAUAGUGCUCUUGGUCCAUGGCAUGGAGUGAUUGCAAAUGAUGCUUGUGUGCGUCUUUGCCUUCAUGCUUGGGCAAUGCAGUGCAUGGAAGCUCCUAUGUUUUUGGAAAAUGAAUGUGCUUUAUUGAGGGAUGC
Glycine soja is the source of this 908-nucleotide long non-coding RNA. RefSeq lists it as uncharacterized. The transcript has 5 exons. NCBI's taxonomy places the organism in Eukaryota, Viridiplantae, Streptophyta, Magnoliopsida, Fabales, Fabaceae. The record is from RefSeq and is a predicted model, not a curated record.